Molecule: long non-coding RNA, 39065 nt
Filed under: Brassica napus (rape)
Lineage: Eukaryota; Viridiplantae; Streptophyta; Magnoliopsida; Brassicales; Brassicaceae
Description: long non-coding RNA (BNAP_LNC020175)
Rfam family: tRNA (bases 31632-31705)
Source: RNAcentral
UGAAAUGUUUAAAAGAAUCUAAUAUAUACUAGUAUUAUUACACAGUUUAAAUUAGUCAAACAGAAAAACAUUCACACAUUCAUUUGGAGGCGUUAAUCCAGUGGAAAGGUUUACCUGGUUAUGAGCAAUCAUGGCUCUAUGUGUGUUUUUUUCAAUAAAUCCUAUCGGCUGAUCCAUGUGAGAGACCAGAUUUUACCUGAAGGGGGAGGGGGGAUGGGGGUAUUGAUAGACCCUUGAGAGUAUACAUCAGGAAGAGAGGCAGAGGAGUUGAGAAAAAAAGGCUUAAUAUGAGAUGACGUGGCAGAGGAAUUGGAGGGAAGUGAAGAUAAUUGAUGGUGAGUGGAGAGAAGUAUAAAUAAUGAGAGUCUGUUGUAGAUAAUUUCUCAUGAAAGUUUGUUAGAGAAGAUUGAAGUCGUGAGAGGGUUUGUCUCUGCGAUUCAGUUUACUCAAGGAGAAGGGUCCUUGGGAUUCACUUUCGAUAUUCAAUAAUACAUGUGUGUCACAGAAUGAGAUCCCAACGUUCCCUUUUAUAGUUUACUUGAUACUUGGAGUGGAAGACUCGAAACUUAGUAACACAAAACAAAGACUCAAAACUUGGAGAGGGAGUCACUGCAUCCAUCUACUGCCGAGCAAUAAAUCAUAUCAAGUUUUUAAAAUCUAAAUCAUCAUCCAAGUUUUUGGGAAAGCUAAAAUCUACGGAAAAAUCAGAAACUAAAAAUUGAAAAACCCAAAAUCUAAAAACUAAAUAAAAAAACAAUAAUAUCAGUUUAAAAUCAAUUUAAAUUUUGGGAAAUAAGAAAAAAGGAAAGAUACAACUAAAAAGGAAACAGUGAACAACAUAUAAACAAACUAUCCAGGUUGCUUAGGUAGAUUGCUUAGAUUAAUUUUGAUUAAAAGAAAAAGAAAAUUAUCUUUUAAUUCAAGCACCGUCGCUUAAUUAGGAACAAUAAGCUACGUUGCUUAUCUCCUUCUCUCUCUCAUCUCUAUCUCUGUCUCUCUCCCCACUUCCUGAAAUCAGUAGAUUUCGAUUCCAAAAUGUCGUGAUUGAUCUCUUCUCUUGGGAUGAUCUCGUCGUCGUCUUUGAUCGUCUCGAGGGAUAGGGUUUGGGUUCGAUCGUAAAAAUUUUAAGCACCCUAAAAUAAGAGCCUUGCAAUGGAGGAGGAAAAAUGUCAAGUUGCUUAGCUAAGUCUCUUACCCAAAUUAUCUCCUUAAAUACUAUUAUUAUAUUAUUAAGCAACCCAUUAUGAGUUGGUAGGAUAAUGAUGCUCUUAGAGAUUGUUUGCUUUUUGUUUAUGAUGGAAAUGCAGAUAACUUCUUGGGGUUUGAGGAGGUGGUCUUCUUAUUCCCUGGAGGAUGGCCGGAUUCUAACAAGUGAAUACUCUUCUUCUCUUCUCCUCUCUUGCCGUAUGUUUUGUGUAUUGAAUUGUCUCCUUUGAAGAACAUAAUAUUGGCAAAAGAAUCUUUAAAAAUUUUAAGCACCCUAAAAUAAGAGCCUUGCAAUGGAGGAGGAAAAAUGUCAAGUUGCUUAGCUAAGUCUCUUACCCAAAUUAUCUCCUUAAAUACUAUUAUUAUAUUAUUAAGCAACCCAUUAUGAGUUGGUAGGAUAAUGAUGCUCUUAGAGAUUGUUUGCUUUUUGUUUAUGAUGGAAAUGCAGAUAACUUCUUGGGGUUUGAGGAGGUGGUCUUCUUAUUCCCUGGAGGAUGGCCGGAUUCUAACAAGUGAAUACUCUUCUUCUCUUCUCCUCUCUUGCCGUAUGUUUUGUGUAUUGAAUGGUCUCCUUUGAAGAACAUAAUAUUGGCAAAAGAAUCUUUAAAAUUUCUAAGCACCCUAAAAUAAGAGCCUUGCAAUGCAAUGGAGGAGGAAAAUGUCAAGUUGCUUAGCUAAGUCUCUUACCCAAAUUAUCUCCUUAAAUACUAUUAUUAUAUUAUUAAGCAACCCAUUAUGGGUUGGUAGGAUAAUGAUGCUCUCAGCUUCUUAUGAAUAAGAUAAAUAAGAAUGCAAAUCUGAAAAUCAAUUGAAACUUUGAGGAAUUACAAAAAAAAAAGGAAAGAAGAAACUAAAAAGGAAAUUAAACAUGAUAAUUUAGUUCAAAAAAAAUUAAACAUGAUAAUCAACAAAAACAAAAGGAAAUAGUGAAAACCCAAAGCGAAUAGUGAACAACCUACUCAAGUAGCUUCAUAUAAAUAAGAACGCUAGAGACUCCUCUCUAAAGCUAUCAUUGAUUCGAUCACUUGUUUCUCAAACCAGAAACAAAACACAAAAUAGAGUCAAAAACCCUAAUUACAGAGAGUGACUAAGAUGGUGAUGAUUAGAGAAGACAACAGCAAAGCUCCGAAUGUCGUUGGCCAAUCUUCUUCAGUACUAGAGUUUGUAUGUUUUCUUGGCCGAGGUAGUUUUGGUUCGGUCGCUCUCAUAAGAGACUCCAAACAAAGGUUACACGCUGAGAAAUCAUCUCCAAUAGCUUACAUGGAGAGUCUCAAGAAAGAGCAUAGGAUCAUGCUUCGUUUCCGUAACCAUCACGCAUCGUCCAAACCACAAACCCUAAUCUUCACAAAGGUUCUUUCUUACUAAGCAAAAGAAAAUUUCAUACCCGUAAUUGUGGUUUCAUCGCCAUGGAUUGAGCUUUGAGUGGUUUUAGGGUUUUGGUUUGUAUGAAAGAAAGAAGAUCAGUAUAUAAAGAAAGAGGAAAAGAGGGAGGUGAAACGAAAUCAUUAAAAAUGUAUUGAUUGAUUGAAACAAAAGUAUUGAUUGUGUAGAAGUGGCUCGAUUAGUUCUCGGCUUCUUUGUUCUUCGAUCGGAGAAGACGAAGUGGUAGAGGUGAGGAGAAUCGUUAUCCUUCGACGGUUUUUUUGGUGAUCUGUAUCCCAUCGGGCAAAUGAAAAUCCGAUAAAGCCCAAAUGGCAAGCUUAUCGGGUGAAGCCCACACGAAAUAUUGCUCGACCGUGAGGUCUGUCUGACGUGUCCAAUUACAUGCUCCUAAUUGGUCUGAAUUAUUGAUCCUACGUGGACACACUCCCUACUCAGUAUAUUGGCCUUUUAGUUUUGUUAGAUAUCAUCGGGGUGUAAUGAUACCUGAUCAAUCGAUGUGCGUACUCCAAAACUGAUGAUGAUUGUUUCCAUGCUUCUAUCCAAAACUCUCCUGUCUACUCCACUUUGAGAAGCCCAAAAAUGAGACCGUGUACUUGUAUUAUUAUUCACCCUAGACUGAGUCAAAACUAACUAUUUGAAACUUGAGGCAAAACGCCUUUCUUCCUUCAGAUGGUCCUCAGGAGAACAAUUUCUAACACCAGGACCAAAGUUAUAAAGUGAAGCUCUAAAAUAAUAUCGAUAUCCAAUAUCCCACCGAGAUAAACAACAAUAAAACAAUACCAUUAUAUUCUUAUUUCUCAUAAUCCAAAGAAGCCACCAUUUUAAGCACGAUACGACUACAGAUGCUUGCAACUUAAUCAAUGUUUGGGACCCAAAAUUUCAACUCAAAAAAUCUCGAACUUAUUAUUAUUAUUGUACACAAUAAUCCCAUGAUGGCGAAGAAACCAUAACCCCAUAAGUUUUGUAUCUUCUAAAAAUUGCUACCCUUUUCCACAAAAAGACCAUCAUACACCAAUCUGGAUGCGUUAGGAAGAUCAUGCACUUGCACCCUUAGCCAUACUUUCCCUCUUGUACCCAACCCAUCGAAAUGAAUCACCAAAAGAAAAGCUUUUCCAUCCAGCUGGUUGUACUGGAACAGUGUCUUUAGUUGGUUUGAUGAGACCAAACUAAAGCCGUAACCCUCUGUAACCGGUAUCCCUGAUUCUUGCCAGUUCCUGAAAUUUUUUAUCAUAUAAGCAAUGUACUCCAAAGCUCCAGCAAUUGUACCAUAACAUAAGUGACUUCCUUCGACGGUUUUUUUGGUGAUCUGUAUCCCAUCGGGCAAAUGAAAAUCCGAUAAAGCCCAAAUGGCAAGCUUAUCGGGUGAAGCCCACACGAAAUAUUGCUCGACCGUGAGGUCUGUCUGACGUGUCCAAUUACAUGCUCCUAAUUGGUCUGAAUUAUUGAUCCUACGUGGACACACUCCCUACUCAGUAUAUUGGCCUUUUAGUUUUGUUAGAUAUCAUCGGGGUGUAAUGAUACCUGAUCAAUCGAUGUGCGUACUCCAAAACUGAUGAUGAUUGUUUCCAUGCUUCUAUCCAAAACUCUCCUGUCUACUCCACUUUGAGAAGCCCAAAAAUGAGACCGUGUACUUGUAUUAUUAUUCACCCUAGACUGAGUCAAAACUAACUAUUUGAAACUUGAGGCAAAACGCCUUUCUUCCUUCAGAUGGUCCUCAGGAGAACAAUUUCUAACACCAGGACCAAAGUUAUAAAGUGAAGCUCUAAAAUAAUAUCGAUAUCCAAUAUCCCACCGAGAUAAACAACAAUAAAACAAUACCAUUAUAUUCUUAUUUCUCAUAAUCCAAAGAAGCCACCAUUUUAAGCACGAUACGACUACAGAUGCUUGCAACUUAAUCAAUGUUUGGGACCCAAAAUUUCAACUCAAAAAAUCUCGAACUUAUUAUUAUUAUUGUACACAAUAAUCCCAUGAUGGCGAAGAAACCAUAACCCCAUAAGUUUUGUAUCUUCUAAAAAUUGCUACCCUUUUCCACAAAAAGACCAUCAUACACCAAUCUGGAUGCGUUAGGAAGAUCAUGCACUUGCACCCUUAGCCAUACUUUCCCUCUUGUACCCAACCCAUCGAAAUGAAUCACCAAAAGAAAAGCUUUUCCAUCCAGCUGGUUGUACUGGAACAGUGUCUUUAGUUGGUUUGAUGAGACCAAACUAAAGCCGUAACCCUCUGUAACCGGUAUCCCUGAUUCUUGCCAGUUCCUGAAAUUUUUUAUCAUAUAAGCAAUGUACUCCAAAGCUCCAGCAAUUGUACCAUAACAUAAGUGACUUGUAUAUGAAGAAAGAGCUCCAAAAGAUAUGAGCUCCAAACUCAUAGAAUAAUCACAAAACAAUACGCCAAUAAAACCAACAGACCCUAAACCAUUGAAUGCUCAUAGAGACUAUUAAGAUAAAAGAAAAUAAAAAACCAGAAACUGAAAACCGCCAACAAUGCCCAUCGAUCAUGUUCUUCCUUAAUAUGAAAUGAUGAAACCACCCCCACGAUAUCCAUCUUUCCCUUAACAUAUCUUCCCAGACCUUCAUCCUGAUGAGUAUCAAACCGAAUCUGCACCGCUUUAAUCCUUUGAUUUCCAAAAUCCCCAUCUCGAAAAGGCAUCGGUGCCCUAGUUCUCAUUCGCCAUCGCCUUUGCCGUCAUCUUCUCUACAAUUCUCAUGUCUCGUUUCUAUUGUUUAUUUUUUCUUUGAGUUCUGUUUAUAAAUGUGUUUAUCAUAUAACAAAGUCUUCUCGAAGUAUUUGGGUUAAUAUAACAUUUCCUAUCAAAUUUAAAUUAGACUAACUAAUUUUCCAAUCGAUUCUAAACAUGCCACAUUGGUGAAAUUGGGUUCUAAUUAACUGUCACAUCACCAAGUUUAAUUUGUAAAUAUUACAAACGGUAAGGUUACUAUUUUUUAAAUGAUUUUUAAUUAAUAUAUAAGAGAUAUUCUAAAAGACUCAUAUCUGAGCGUCUACACUUUAAGUUGCGUCUACUACUGAAAGUUUCAACUAUUAUCAGCAAAGUAUAACAUCUACGGUGUCCUCUAUAACCUACUAAUGGUAGAAUCUAUUUUCUACUGGAUUUUAAAAAAAAAUUAGUUAAAAAACGGUUGGUAAAAUAUUUAGCAGAUCUUGAAAGUAUUUUCUUUACUUUUGGGAAGAAUCUUUUUAAACUCACCUCAAAGAAAAAAAACAUAUGCCAUCAUCCUCUUUUACUCUUGUUAUCUUCAUGAUGUCACCCAAAUUACACUGGAGUUUAAUAAGAUUUUACAAAACCAGCAUGUCUGGUUCCUCAAUCAUAAAAUGUGACAAUUUAACAAUUAUAAAAUCUAAUUAACUUUGAAACUUUGCUGAGGUGUUUGCGUUUGUCUUCACACAUAAAAUCUAAUCACAUUGGUUUCACACAUUUUGUAAUUGAUAUGUUCUCGUGGCUGAACAAAGAAUCAAAUCCAGAAAUCAAGUUAAGAUUGAACACUAUUGUUGUUGACUCGAAAUAAAACCAAUCAACCGUUUAGAAAAUAUUGAAACAGAGACAAAUUUGUGAAACACUAUUGUUUGUGCAUUAGUAGAAACUGACGCCAUCCAGCGAAAGAAAUCACCACGAUUAAGUUGAGAAAGAUAGAGAACUGAAAACCCAGAAUGAAAAAAAAAAGCUCAAACUUCACAGGUCGGAAAAAAGGCUUCUACAACGAAAGAAAUCACCUCUUCUUGGUUGGUUGGAUGGAGUGGUGAAAAGAAGUAAUAGGGUUAACGUCGAUUUUUUUACCUAAAUCACUUUUACGAUUUAACACAUGUAAAAAAUAAUAUAUAAAAAUUUAUUUUGAAUAAAAACUUAAUUGUACAAUUAGAGGGUUAGAAUGGGAUUAACAUUAAUAUUAGUUCUAAGUGAACAAGAACUCCUAAAAUGAUUCUAAGGAGACAAAAUAUUAGUUUUUUAAUUCCUUUUUAGCAAAAUUCCCUAAUUUAAAAGAGAAUAGUUUCUCUAACUUUCAUUUAUAACAACAGAAAAACGUCUUUUAUAAGAUUUAUUGUUUUGUAACAUAAUUAAGAAAACAUAUAAAUAUUACGAAGUUUAGUUUUAAUAAACUCAUAACAGAUAAACAGAAAAUAUUAGCAAAAUAAAGUGUAUAUUUUUCUCUGGAUAGUGUUUUAAAAUUUUUGAAUAAGAAGAGAUGAAGACAAGUGUUAUGUUUUUAAGUGUUAUAGUUCUUGUUUCAUCGGGUAAAUUUAUCUUUGGUAAGUCAGGAGAAUAUAUAAAAUAUUGUAGUCUUUAUUAACAUAUUAAUUAACUGAUUAAUUUGGUAUUUGUUUUGCAAUUCUCUUAGGUGCGACGAAUACAAUGAAAAUAUUUUGGAAGAGAGGACCCAUAUUUUCAGUCCAACAGCAACUCCUCUAAUGAAUGUUCAGAUAAACGAAGACGAAUAUCGUCAAGGUUACAUAGGUUUUUGUCAUGAUUGUGCUUGGGCUUGUUUUCGCAGAAAUAAGUCUUUGGCAAGAUGUAAAAAAUUUAAGUGUCGUUGCUCUUAAAAGCAGAAAUAAGUCUUUGGCAAGAUGAAAUAAGUCUUUGGCAAGAUGUAAAAAUGCUCAGAUACUCUAACGAGCUAAAAUUUAUUCCGUCAUGCUUUUAUUAAUUCUCACAUACUCAUUACUCUUAAUAAAAUAAGAGAUUUUUCAGUUUUGUCUUUACGUUUUCCCUCUUCAAUUGAAAAUUUAAAUUUUGAAUUUUAGGUAUCAAAUUCAUAAUUUGAAUUUUGAAUUUUAGUAAAACUAUAAACCAAGUUGAACCAAGUUACACCAUUGUCGAAGUAUAAAUUUGGUAUAACUAUGUCCUAGUUUUACUAAAUUAUACCUCGAAGAUGGUAUAACUUAGUAUGACUAGGUUCUAGUUUUACCAACUUGUACCUUGACAAAGGUACAACUUGGUAAAACUAGAACCUAGUCAUACAGUUUUACCAAUUUACACGACAGAUAAUGUAAUUUGGUAAAACUGUUUUUCUAAGGUUUGUAGUUUUACUUUCGUGUUCUAUUUUGAUAUCUGCAUUUCUGAAUCUUAAAAAUCGAAAAUACAAAAAAGUAGAUCGAAGAUGACGAAAAGAAUAGAUGAAUGAAUAGGCAGAGAAGAAGGAAGAUAAGGCAUAAAAGGAUAAGGAAGAAGAAACGGAGAUGAAGGAGGAGGAAAAGGUGGCGGAGAAGAAAGAUGAAGAAAAUGCGUAAGAUGAGUACGAAGAAGAAGCAGAAACAGAGGAGAAGAAAGAGGAAGGGAAAUAGGCGGAGGAGAAGAACAAAGAGAAUGAGGAAAAAAAAGAAGAAGAGAAACAUGGAUCUAGAAUUUAAGAGAAGGAGGGAAUAGAUGGAGGAAUAUGCAGAGAAGAAGGAAAAUGAGGCAGAAGAGGAGAAGGAGGAAAAAACGGAGAUGAAAGAGGAGGAAAGGCGGCAGAGAAGGAAGAUGAAGAGAAAAUAGAAGAGGAGCACAAAGAAGAAGCAGAAACAGAGGGGAAGAAAGAGGAAGAGAAAUAGGCCGAGGAGGAGAAAAAUAACAAGAAGAAGGAGAAAAAAAGAGAAAAAUGAGAAGGAAAAGAAGAACAAUAGAGAGAGAGAUUAGAAUUGAAGAAGAUAAAAGAGAAUAAAAAAAAGAAACAUGGAUCUAGAAUUUAGGAGAAGGAAGUUGAAUCAAAAAAGGAGGUUGGUAAAAAAAAAGGAAAUUGAAUAAAUGCUAUAUUCCGUAAAUAGGUGAAUUCAUAGAUCAAUUGAACUUCUACUUAUUUUUUAAAUUAAAAAUAAAUGAAAAAAAAAGAAUUGAAAGAAAAGAGUAUAUGAGAAUAUAAUUUUUGGAUCAGGAGUAUGUCAGCAAUUGAUUCUGUAUACUCGAGAGGAUCAAUACGUUUUUCAACCAAAAGCAAAAGAUAAAUUGUAUGCCCAUUAACAAACAUUCUCUUGAAAAAUACAAAUUUUACAAGUACUAGGGGGUCGAAAAUCUUGGUCCAGAGACUUUUCAAACAGCGUAGACCAUUUUAGACACACAACUAAUUUUAGACACUUAGUGUUCCAAAUAUUGUUAUUAUAGUGUUGUUCCCCAACUAUUGUUGAUAUAAUUUAGCGCAUAAAACAUAUGUUUACUGGGCAUUAGUCCAAGGUUGCCAUUAUGUAUACUAAUCCAGACAUUAUGUAUUAUGUACUGUGUGUGUGCGCAGUCACAGGGUACACAAAAUUAUAUGGUCUAACUAAAUUAAUUUAUUUAAUCAGAAUUAUAAAAGGAAUUGUCUUUCUCUAUUGUUUGUUUUUAUUUUUCAAAUAAACAACUUCUGUUUGCUCAUUUAUAAGAUUUGUGCAAUCUGAAUUAUUUUCAGAUAGUUGUAAAUACGUAAUAUAUUAAAUAUAUGUCAGUUACAUAUAAAAAUGAGGAAUUCCUUAGAGAUCGAUAUAUUCUCUUGUAACUUUAAGUUUGUACAGUGAUGCAUAUAGUAUUUUAGCAAUAAAAGAUUUUGUUAUUACAGUGAUGCAUAUAGUAUUUUUUGAUACUUAUUUGAGGAUCAUUUAAAAGUUUGUGCUAAUUAAAAAUAGAUUCUGCUUAGAUGUCAUUUAAUUACGAUGACAAUUUAACUUACGUAGCAGCUUAAUAAUCAAUUGAAAAAAAAUGUUGGUUCAAAUCCAAUUACUAAGGAAACAUUAUAUUAACCUAAAAUAUAAGAAACAUGUAUUAUUUUCUUAAAUAAAACCUACAGAAUUACCUAUUGAUUAACAUAUACAUGGUGACUAAUGAAUAUGAAUAAUAAAGAUUUGAUAAAAAAUUUGCAUCCUUCUUCAUUUUUGUUUAAUUUUAUAUUAUUUAAAAAAUAACAAUAACAUUACCUAUAUAAUAAAAAAAAUAGUUUUUUUUUAUGUUAUAUUUUGAAUUUUUUAAAAUGACUUUAAAUUACAAAAAUGAAGAAACCUUAUAUGUUAUAUUUUAAACUUUUUAAAAUGACUUUAAAUUACAAAAAUGAAGAAACCUUAUAUGUUAUAUUUUCUAAAUGUUAGAUUUUUUCUUAUAUAUUAUAUUUUGAAUUUUUUAAAACGAUUUUAAAUUACAAAAAUGUAAGUUUUCCUUAAUCAUAUGACUAAAGACAUUAAAAUGACAUUUAUCAAUUCGAUGGUUGAUCUGAAACCUUUCAAAACCAUAUGGAAGAUAAAUGUCAAAAUAAUUCAACUAUGGAAACAAAACUGUUCAUUUUUUUCAAAAAUGUGUUAUGUGGAAAAUAAUGAGGUUUUUGUGUCAUAAUUUGUUUAAUGUCCAAUUCGAUCAACCUAUGAUAUAUUAAUUAUAGUUUAGUUCCACAAUUUUUAAUAAAAAUUGAUCCGGUCUAUCGGAAAAAAAUUAUAUAAUAACAAUAAAAAACAUUGUAUAUGUAUAAAUAAAAUGAUCAAAUAUAUAAAAAAAAUAUCGAUAAUAUAUACAAAUAAACUCACCCUGCGCAAGACACAAGUCUUAUCCUAGUAACAUAUAUAUUAGAUUUGAUCGUAAAACUGAACCAUAUAUUAGAUUUGAUCGUAAAACUGAACCAAAUAUAUUCUCUUGUUUUAUUAAAAUCAAGUAAUCUGGUACCUAUUUGAGACCACAAGGUAGUACCAAAAAGUUUACUAUUCUAACACCAAUAUUUGUUUUGCUAUAUAUAUUCAGUCGCUUUGUAUCACAUAAAGUACCAAUAAAGAAAACAUUUGAUUCAUAUAGUAUUUUAGCAAUAAAAGAUUCUCUAAAUAUCAUUAUGAUCAGUGCUUACUAAUGUAAUAGCUUUUUAAUGUAUUGCUAAGAUCGAUGUUUUAUAUGAUAGAUAUACUUUUAAAGCAAGUGUUAUAAUUUAAAGAGAAUAGUUUCUCUAACUUUCAUUUAUAACAAUAGAAAAACGUCUUUUAUAAGAUUUAUUGUUUUGUAACAUAAUUAAGAAAACAUAUAAAUAUUACGAAGUCUAGUUUUAAUAACUGCACAACAAAUAAACAGAAAAUAUUAGCAAAAUAAAUUGUAUAUUUUUCUCUGGAUAUUGUUUUUAAAUUUUUGGUUAAGAAGAGAUGAAGAUAAUUGUUAUGUUUUUAAGUGUUAUAGUUCUUGUUUCAUCGGGUAAAUUUAUCUUUGGUAAGUCAGGAGAAUAUAUAAAAUACUGUAGUCUUUAUUAACAUAUUAACUGAUUGAUUUGGUACUUGUUUUACAAUUCUCUUAGGUGCGGUGAAUACAAUGAAAAUAUCUAAUUUGGAAGAGAGAACCCAUAUUUUCAGUCCAACAGCAACUCCUCUAAUGAAUGUUCAGAUAAACGAUUUACAAGACGAAUAUCGUCAAGGUCACGGAGGUUUUUGUCAUGAUUGUGCUCUGGCUUGUUAUCGCAGAAAUAAGUCUUUGGCAAGAUGUAAAAAUUUUAAGUGUCGUUGUACUUGGCAGGAUCUUCAUUAAGACGAUCUAAUGUAUUUCAAACAUUUAUAAACAAAAGAUAAUUAACAAUAUACUGAAUUUUUUUUUAAUGUGCAUCUGCUUUACACAUGUAUACUCUGAGUGGAUCAAUAUGUUUCUCAACCAUAUACUUUUUUUCUCUCUCCUACCCCCGAUCUCUCUCCCCUCUCUUCUUCUACCCUUCGCCGUCACUGACAUUCGUUUUUUUUCCGGCGGCCGCUCCGUGUUUGAACCGAAAACGGUGUGUUUGUCGGAUUCAUACAAUGAAGAAUUUAAGAAAUAAAUUUCUUAUAUUCUUGAGGUUUAAGAGAAAUCAACAUAGAAAUCAAAUGGAAGAUGAAUAUCAAAAAUAAUUUAAUGAUCAAAGAUUGUAUUACAUGUAUGAUUACAAGAGUAAAGUAAAUCUAAGAAUCCAUAAACUCUUUAUAAGAGAGUGUUCUAAGUCUAGAAUGGAGAAGAGAAGAUCACUUAACGAGAAGCUUGUGCCGGUUGUGUCAAACUUGUCUUGAGAGUUCGCUUGAUGAAGAAGCAAAACCUUGCCGCUACUGAGUUCUUCUUGAGACCUUCUAUGAGAAUAGAUACUUUUUUUAAGACAUCGAAGGAAAAGUUUUCGACCGUUGUCGAAGUGAAUGCAGAUUUCUUUAUUUAUACAAAGAAGAAGCUAGAGCUUCAUAGUAAAAUGAGCAUAAUUUAUUGCCUAAUGGGUCUUGAGAUAGGAUGUAGAUCCACCCCCAACAGUAAGCCCCCCAAGUUCGUAGAGAGAGAUGAAGUCGAUCUCUGUGAACUUUACGAAUAUGGUUUAUUAGACAAUUAAUUAGACACAUUCAUGCCUAUAACGAUUUAGGCGAGUUUAAUUUGAACUUGUGCUUAGUAAAAGGCGAGUUUGCUUUAAACUCGUGCUUAGCGAAAGACGAGUUUACUGGACUCAUGCUGAGGCAAAAGCGAGUUUACUGAGAACUUGUGCCUAGUAAAAGGGGAGUUUCUGUAAACACAUGCCUAGCCAAAGGCGAGAUUUUGUAAACUCGUGUCUAACAAUAAGCGAGUCUAAUGUAAAUUCGUGCCUAAUAAAAAGCAAAUUCAAUUUAAACUCGUGCCCAAAAUACAAGUUUACCGAACUAUUGCCGACCCGAAGUCUCGUGUUGAGAUCGUAAGUGCCGAGCAAGUUGUUGGCUUGUAUGUUCGUCAGGCUGUGAUGACGUUUGAGAAACUUUCUGUUUGCUGUUAAGAGAAACAUGACGUGUCCAGGAUCAGAGUGACCGGCAAGGGCAGCGUCUCGUAGAGCAACGUCUCUGGCAAGGGUAGCGGUUAACACGAGCAGCAACGCUCUGUCUUACAGAAAACAUGAUGAUGAUCAGAUUAAGAUUCACCAAAAGAAAUAAUCAAGUUUUGUGUAAUCAAUAAGCAAGUGGCAAAACUUGUUUUACUCAAAGCUUCACAAGUUGCAUAUAGUAGUAAUUUAUUUACAACUAAACAGUUUGCACAGGUUGCAAGCAAUGAAGCAAUCAAGGUUAUAGAGCACUUAUCUUUGAUUGAUGAGUGAAGAAGCAAGACCUUGCCGCCGCUGAGUUCGCUUCAAGCUAUGAUUCAGUUUUCCAAAGGGAUAGAAGAAAACAGAGAACGUGUCCAGUGCAGUGAAACACAACCAGAUGGCAAGCUUGUGCGAAUUGCCUCUGUCGCCGAGAGGCUUUGUUGUUACGUCGAGAUCAACAUGACGAGAAGGCUUCUUGGAGAGAUGAUACGAAGAUUAGGACAUGUCUCAUGCGCUGUUCCUUCUUAACGAGAAGCUUGUGCCGGUUGUGUCAAACUUGUCUUGAGAGCUCGCUUGAUGAAGAAGCAAGGCAAGACUGAGUUCUUCUUGAGACCUUCUAUGAGAAUAGAUACUUUUUUUUAAGACAUCGAAGGAAAAGUUUUCGACCGUUGUCGAAGUGAAUGCAGAUUCCGGCAAGAUACUGAUAUCAAGUGCAGAACUUCAUGAUAAAGCUUCAUGAUAAAGUUUCAAACUUUCUCUUUGGCUUCAGCAGGAGCUCUGAUCAGGCGAGGCGAUAUAUGUCCCGAGGAGGAGGAGAUCAUAUGAAGGUUGGAAGCCGAGAUCCAACACAGGCUGAGUUCGGCACGUGAUUAAACUCGAGACGUGGCAGUGGAGAAGCGCACCCUUUGCUGUCUUUUUUUUCGCUGGCCUUUCCGAUUUGUUACCUUCUUGGAUCGACAGAUGGAAGGAACUGGAAUCGCUUCUGCUUGUUAGCAAACGGUUUGAGGAUACCUUGUGAGAUUGUCUGAUGUUGAAUCAUCUCAAUCUCGCCAGCAACCCGUGUUCUGUUCGAAUCCCCUAACGCCCUGUUGCUGAAGGCAACGAUGGAGCAGGGCAAACUAGGGCUGAUCUCUGUCAUCGUCCUUCUCUUGUGGCCGCGAGAUCCCGAUAACCUUCCAAGCCUCUGGCUUGAUUUCGAAAAACCCAGUCCAUCUUAACGCCUCUGAGAAAAUCGCGUGGACCGGAAAGAAGCUCGUGCAGGUGCCGUCGCUUCUGAUGAGAAUCUUCGGCUCUUUGGUGGGUUCGUGUUCUUCGCGACUCUCACUUGACCUUGAAAGACCCAGUUCAUCGCAACACAUCUGGGGAGAUCGUGUUUCACGGGCCGGGAAGAAGCUCGAGCAGUCCGAGAAGAGCAGUCCCAGAAGCUUCACCGGCGGACCGAGACCGAAGCAGCACCACAGACCUUCUCCGGGAGGAAGCAACGGAACUGCCAUCGCGAAUUAGAGGAUGUCCAGGUCUUCUAUUUUAUCGGAUCAUGAACUUGUGUGGAGGAGAAAGAAAGCUUCAUCCUUUUUUUUUUUUUUAUGAAAGUAUGUUUAUUAAUCUAAGAAGAGGAGAAGAUCCUUUCUCAUAAAGAGGUAGCUUCUUAUUUAUAGAAAGAUGAAGCCUAGGGCUUCCUAGCAAUAUGAGCUAGUUCAAUGUCUAAUGGGCCUUGAAGAGGAUAUAAAUCCAUCCCCAACAGUAAGUCCCCCAAGUUCGUUGAGAGAGAUGAAAUCGAUCUCUGCGAAGUUUACGAAUAGGGUUUAUUAGACAAUGAACUAGACAUACUCAUGCCUAUGACGGUUUAGGCGAGUUUAUUUCGAACUUGUGUCUAGUAAUAAGCGAGUUUGCUUUAAACUCGUGCUUAGUGAAAGACGAGUUUACUUGACUCCUGCUAAGACAGAGGCGAGUUUACUGAGAGCUCGUGCCUAGUAGAAGGAGAGCUUUCUGUAAACUCAUGCCUAGCCAAAGACGAGUUUCUGUAAACUCGUGUCUAACAAUAAGCGAGUCGACCACAAACUUGUGCCUAAUAAAAAGCAAGUUCAAUUUAAACUCGUGCCUAAAAUACAUGUUUACCGAACUAUUGCCGACCCGAAGUCUCGUGUUGAGAUCGUGUGUGCCGAGCAAGUUGUUGGCUUGUAUGNNNNNNNNNNNNNNNNNNNNNNNNNNNNNNNNNNNNNNNNNNNNNNNNNNNNNNNNNNNNNNNNNNNNNNNNNNNNNNNNNNNNNNNNNNNNNNNNNNNNNNNNNNNNNNNNNNNNNNNNNNNNNNNNNNNNNNNNNNNNNNNNNNNNNNNNNNNNNNNNNNNNNNNNNNNNNNNNNNNNNNNNNNNNNNNNNNNNNNNNNNNNNNNNNNNNNNNNNNNNNNNNNNNNNNNNNNNNNNNNNNNNNNNNNNNNNNNNNNNNNNNNNNNNNNNNNNNNNNNNNNNNNNNNNNNNNNNNNNNNNNNNNNNNNNNNNNNNNNNNNNNNNNNNNNNNNNNNNNNNNNNNNNNNNNNNNNNNNNNNNNNNNNNNNNNNNNNNNNNNNNNNNNNNNNNNNNNNNNNNNNNNNNNNNNNNNNNNNNNNNNNNNNNNNNNNNNNNNNNNNNNNNNNNNNNNNNNNNNNNNNNNNNNNNNNNNNNNNNNNNNNNNNAUAAAAAGAAAAAAAAAAUAUAUAUAUAUAUAUAUGUUUCUCAACCUAAAGCAAAAUAUAAAUUGUAUGCCCAUUAACAAACAUUCUCCUGAAAAUACAAAUAUUACGAGUAGGCCUGAGCUGGAUCCGGAUAUCCAGGAAAUUUGGGGUACCCGGAUCAGUGGGUUUAUUAUCCGGAUCCGGAUUCGUGGCUUCCGGAUAUCCCUCUCGAUAUUCUAUUACCCGCUGAUAUCCGGAUCCGUAAAAAUAACUAAAAAAUAAUAUUUUUUAAAAAAAAUACUAUUUUUUAAUAUAUUACCUAAAUUAAAUAUUUAUACAAGAUUUAUAAAUAUAUUUAUAUAUGUCUAUAAUAUUGUAAAAACUAAAAUAUAAUAUUACAAGAUUAAUUCAUGUAUAAAUAUUAAUUUAUCAAAUAUAAAAAUUAAUAAAAUUUAAAAAUUAAUGUGUUUUAAAAAUACGGAUCCGGAUCCGGAUAUCCGGACCUAAAAAUUAAGAUAUCCGGAUCCGGAUUCAGCUUGCACGGAUCCAAGAUUUUACUAUCCGGAUUCGGAUCCGGGCACCCCAGACAUCCUAUUUUCGGAGCGGAUCCGGAGCGGAUCUUGGAUCGUAUCCAGAUCUCGGAUAAUAAGUCUCAAGCCUAAUUACAAGUAUUAGGGGUCAAAAUGACGUGAGGUGACAAUAGUGUUCUAAAGAGCCGGUGAGUCUCUACGUUAGUUAAACUAGUUUUACAGAUUUAUUCUGUGUUUUGCAUGAGGACAAGUAAAAUAAUAAGUUCGGGGAAUUGAUAUGUUAUAGAUUUUACAUGUUUUCACCUGUUAUAUAAGUAUGUUUUUAGAGUCUUUUAUAUGCAUUUGGAGUUGUUUUAGAGUCUUUUAUGUUCUAGUUACUUAUUAAAUAUAAUUGGAGCUUUUGGAUCAUUUUGGAGCUUUUGAGGAAAGAUUUGUUGAAGACUUGAGUCAGAGAUUGUGCCUAGGAGAAGCAUCGAUAGACACUACAAUUGAAAUAUCGAUCGACACCCAGUCGUCCGCGAGUUUAAUGACGAUCUGAAGAAAUUACAAUUUUUGCCCAGACGUUCUAAUAAUUGCACAACAAAUCAUUAGUCGCAUGUUAGGAUAUUUAUUACGGUUUUCUAUUGUUUUGUAAACAACACUUCUUUUACGCUUUUCUACGCUUUGGAUGCACACUUUAUACCUUUCUAGAGAGAGAGAGCAUAAGAUUGGAGAGAGUGAUCUGAACACCUUCUGAGAGAAUAUCUUGAAUUCCUUUGUUUCUUUAUUAUUUUCUUUAUUUUAUCUAUUUUAUUAUUAUUCAGACUGUCAUCAUGUUUUCUAUGAAUAUGCUUGAGUAGUUCUAUUGUUAAAUAGGGUUCUUCAAAGGUUAUCUGAUGAUUUGCUAAAUCUGUGGUGUUAUUAGGGUGAUUUAAUUAGUUAUUCAUCUAGUUGUUCUUAUUGUUAAGUCUAGGAUUGAUCACCCUGAACUUAGAUCUUAGGAUUGAUUGGCGCAAACGAGAGUUUGGUCUGUUUCCUGAACGAAACUAGGAUGAUUUAAUUAGCUAUGUACAUACAAGAGUUUAUCUAGGUGAUUAGAAAACCUAUCAAACUUAUUCGCUAUAGCUUGUUAGAAGUAGUAUCAAUCGUCACUCCACAAGAGGUAUCGAUCGACACUGAUUCACAUACGAGAGUUAGACUUCUAGGUCUAACCAUUAGAUAAUCCUUACAUACGAAAGUUUCUAUAUUAUAAUCCAAGUUUGAAUUCGAGAAUAAGUCAUAUAAUAAAUCCCUAAUAACUUUUCUAGUUUACAUACCUAUCAUACCUGAGAUUUCACGUAAGUCUAGUUUUUUCCCUCAUCUUGAUAAAUUACAAAUACUAUCAUUUAAUUCUCUGUUUACUGCUUUCUGUAUUACUUUCUAGUUUUAAUUCAAAAGAAAUAAGCCUAUUGUGUAUCGUAGAGUCUCUGUGAAUUCAAUCCCUAAGUACUACAACUGAACUUCUUAUUUGAGAGAGUAAGUUGCUUUAGGGUUAAUUUGACAAAAUCAUUGUUCAACAAAUAAGAAGUCAGAGUCUAGAUUUAAAAGAAGUGUCGGUCGACACCUCUUCCUUGGUGUCGCUUGUCACCCGCACGAGUAGACAAACCGACUUACUUCAAGAUCGACUUAGGCCCAGAAGCUUCCACAUAUUACACGAUUACCCUACCAACUUUAUACCUAAUAUAUAUAGUUUUUAAGCCAUUGUUUAGGAAGACACACUGUAGAAAACAUAUUUAUUAGAAGCUUUUAGUUUAGAGAGAAGAUCAAGACUCCUUCAGAAAUUUGUAUUGGAACUUCAAUAUUUCUUACUUUAUCUAUUUAUGCAAUUCAUUCAGUUCAUCUUUAUGCUUUGCUUAAUUAUGUAUGAGUAGUGACCUUGUUAGAUUUAGGGUUUAUUAAGAUUUUGAUGAAUUAUUAAAACUAGGGCUGGGCAAAAAAUCCGAAUCCGAAGAACCGAACCGAACCCGAUCCGAAAAAGUAGUACCGAAUCCGAACCGAAAUUGAUUAAAUAUCCGAACGGGUUCAAAAUUUUGGUAUCCAGAGAACCGAAACCGAACCCGACCCGAACCGAAGUAUUUCGGGUACCCGAAUGUAUCCGAAAUAGAUUUAUAUAUCUAAAUAUAUUAAUUAUUUUUAGAUUCAAUGUAUAUUAAAAACAUUCAAAAUAUAUAAGAUACUUUUAAGUUGUCUAAAAUACUUGAAAAUAUAUACAAAUAUUCAAAAGUAAAUUUCUAAAAUAGUAUAAAAUAUACUCAAAACACCAAAAAUAGUUGAAAUGUCUACUGAUUGUCUAUCAAAAUUUUCAAACAAACUAAUUUAUAUGUUAAGUUUAGGUACUCUCACAUAUGUUAUUCAAGUUUAUAUGUUAUAUAGUAUUUUAUUUACAGAUUUUGAGAAAUUGAAACUAUACAUUGAAUUUUAAAAUUUUAAAAAUCAUUUAAAUGGGUUAUCCGAACCCGAACCGAACCCGCAAAGAUCCGAACCGAACCCGAACCGAAAUUUAGAAAUACCCGAAUGGAGCUAAAAUCUUUAACCCCGAAAACCCGAAACCCGAAUAAACCCGAACCGAACCCGAAUGGNNNNNNNNNNNNNNNNNNNNNNNNNNNNNNNNNNNNNNNNNNNNNNNNNNNNNNNNNNNNNNNNNNNNNNNNNNNNNNNNNNNNNNNNNNNAUAUAUAUCUCAUAAUUCUAAUUUCCUGAAACUCUAAGUCUAGCGUAUUUUCCAUAUUAACUUACAACUGAUAUUUACCGCUUUAUUUAGUGCUUUUAAUAUUCUUGCAUAUCUUAAUCAUAAUUCAUAUCGUCUAUUGUGUGCCCACGAUCCAUGUAGAUUUGAUCCUUAAGUACUGCAAUUGAUCUCUUAUUUGAGAGAGAUAGUUAGAUCUAGUGUAAUUUCAGCUUGCAUCACCAAAGUAAAGCCUACACUUUUAUUUAAGAAAUGAGGUUAGUAGAGACACUAUAGGUGAGAUGUGGUAUGGAAAGGUUUCUAGGCUGGGUUUAGUACAUGGAAAUCCCUCAGAUGUGGUUGCAACAUUGUAGAGGUGAUGGUGGUGUUUUAAAAAGCUGGUGAGUCCCUAUGUUUUCAAACCUUUUCCACAGGUUUAUUCUAUAUUUUGCUUGAAGACGAGCAAAAUGAUAAGUCUGGGAGAGUUGAUAGGUCCCAGAAUUUACCACUUUUAGGCCAUGUUAUAGGCCAUAUUUAGAGUCUUUCUUAUGCAUUUCGAGUUAAUUUUAGGUCGUUUUCAGUUUUAGGCACGUUUUGGGAACUUUGGAGAUUUUGGAACUUUUUGAGAUGCAAAACUGCGUAAAUAGGUCAGAAGUUUUAGAAAUGGAUGGAGGACUUCCCACAGUGCGAUUGAGCUAAUAUUUUGAUACAAAAUAGAGCUUUGAGUUAGAUUUUGAAUUCCACCUGUUUGAGGUCAAUCAGGAUCCUAGAUUGAGUUAUGAUUAUUUUACUGAAGAAUGGUUAGUCUGAUACUCGAGAGGAAGCUGUCGAGGUUGUGGCUUAGCAGCGAACGAUGCCCUCUGAGAAAUGAACGACGCUCAUACUGACCAAGUGCCCGGCAAGUUUUAAUGAAGUUUUAAGAAUUGCAGUUUGGCCUCAAACCUUCCCUUAUGUACAAAAGAGCCCACAACAUGUUUUAACCUAUAUUAUCUAUCUUGUAGCCAUUGUUGAUGCCAAGCUUUGUUUUAGAUUGGAGAGAAGAGAAAAACUCCGUAAAAGUUUUCUUGGAACUCAUGUUGAUUCAUUCUAUGUUAAACAAUUAAUAAUAAAAUAGCAAUAAUCAUCUAUGGAUGCACUCUAACCACCAAGCAAUCAACCAAGGCAUCCUAGUUAUAUAAGCAUUCAGCAAAGCCAUAACUAAGCAUGCAACCAAUCAAUCAAUCAUCCAAUCAACCAAGCAUUCAAUCACAAUCUGAAACUAUCCAAACUGUUACCAAGUCAGUUCCGGCCUCCUUCCAUGAUCCUCAACUAUGAAGCACGGGGAUGUCAUUUAGGUCGACGUUUCCGGUACGGAAACGUUUCUGGGACGGGUACUGCUUGGGAAUGGCACGGGCACAGCUUGGGGACGGUGAGAGUAACCGAAGGUCUAAUAACUAAUGGAUUGUGUGUUUAUGAACAUAUUUACGUUAACAUUAUCUUACAUUAAGAUAAUUCAUUACUUUUUUUCUUUAAAAAGUACUAAAACGAAAAGAAACAAAAAUUUAUAACCUUCUUUCUAAUUCUUCUAGUUUGAACUUUGAACUAGAUGAAGCAUAUUUUAAUAAUCAAUGAGUAAACAAAUCAUUUCUUACUAUUGUUAUUACUUAAAAUAGUAUAUUACAUUGUUUUCUUUUAAGAUUAUAGAGUAAUUUAUUUUAGUUUCAAUUUAUGAGUAUAUGUAUAUAUAUUUUUAUAUUAAUAUAUAUGCCGUACCCGUAUCUUUAAAUUUUUAGUUUUGCUGUUUCUCGUCCCCGCUUCCGUACCCGUAUCUGUCCCCGUAUCCGUCCCGGUGCAACAUAGAUCCUCAAUAACGGAAACCUGAAUGAAAACAAUUCAACAAUCAACUGCCGUUACUCACAGUAUUUGGUUCGUUGUGGCUUUGACCCGAAUCCUCGACCAAAAGCUUUUUCCCGAACUCCAAGCUGUUUUUUCUUGAGAACUCCUGGUACUCUACUGUUGCUAGAUCUUAGUACUUCUCCCUGGAGUGAAGUGAAUUCUGGAAAACCUCUGAACCAUCUUCAAAAGAAAGAAAACCCCUUAGAGUGACUUUUGGUGACGAAUGGAAACUCGGAUUUUCCCCCCUCAAGAUGACACUUUUUGAUGAUUCCUUCUUCAGAAUACUUGUUUCUAACUCCCAGAAGAAUACUUUCUCAAACAAUGAGACCUUUGUUUCGCUAUGAUACAUCUAGUGUGAUCAAAUCAAGAAUUGGCUAAUUCUAGACAGGUUUCUGAGGUGGUUUUUGACAAACGUUUUGAGUAGGCUAUUGAUGGAUUUUUAUUCUGAAGUUUGGUGAAGAUAUUCUAUCAGGGAUGAGUUUUGUGAGUUUUUGUAAUGGAGUAGGCUAUGGGUGAUUGAAAAUAACAUGCGGAGUUCUCGGCUACACGAUUCUGGUGAUGGGUAACUGGUUGAAAAGGGUGAUCAAUGGCUAGGUUUUGGGUAUUAUUUAUCUUGUUUGAGGUGAUGAAUGUGUUAAUGAAGGCCUAUGGGUUUAUAUAGUGAAAAAACAGCCAUAUAAAUGUGACAUAUGACUCCCUAGGUGUCGAAAUGCAUAGUUAGAUACACAUGUGUCACGACACGCGACCGCUUGGGUGUCAACUCUAAAUUCUGCACGUUUAACAUGUUUCCCUCUGGAUUUCAUAUCCUGUAUGUCCCUAACAUGUAGCACGACACCUUGUUCUUCUCCUUGACACCUUGUGCUUUUCCUUUAACACUACAUGCUUCUCUUUUAACAACUCGUGCUUCUCUUGUCGCCCCGUGCUUGUUUUGACACUCUGUGCUUCUGACCAAUCAUAUAUUACUACGUCCUCAUGUGUACCAAAUCUUUAGAUUGAACUUAUUGUCUUAAAAAAACCAUGCUGAAGUGCUCCAAACGCCUUUCGUCGCUUAAAUAUCUUAGAUCGCUCGCGACUCGACCACCAAACGUAGAUGCUCAACCAACUUAUAUUUUCUCUGUACCAUCAUGUUUUUAUCCUAACCAAAUGUAUUCUCCUAACCUCCUUAAAUAAUCAAAGCCAUGUUUCUUACAUCUCCUCCAACUUCGAAAAUUCGCCUCGCUCUUCGUCGACCUCCAAUUCAGACUUCUCGACCAAAAACCAAUUCACUCGAGCCAUCUGAAUUUUUUUCUCGGCCAAACGUCUUCAUAUGAUCCAUGCCCACCAUGCCAACCACGAUUUACCUAAUUUAGAGGUAAAACUACUCUAAAACAGGGUCAUUAUAGUGAAAGUCAGAAUGAGGUUGAAAAUGAGAGUGAGAGUGAGGGCGAGAAUGAGGAUGAGGGUAAGAGUGAGAGUGAGAGUGAGAGUGAGAGUGAGAGUGAGAGGUUGAAAAUGAGAGUGAGAGUGAGGGCGAGAAUGAGGAUGAGGGUAAGAGUGAGAGUGAGAGUGAGAGUGAGAGUGAGAGUGAGAGGGUGGGACGGGAUAAAGGUGAGAGUGAAAUCGAUAGAGUAAAUAUACGUGAAAUUGAAAAGGUGAGUACAGGUGAGAGAGAAUUUGAUAUUAUUUAAUCAAUAUAACGUUAGAAAGCUUUGAAAGUUUGACCAAAACUGGCAAAGACUGUGCAAUUGAAAACUAUUUUAUCUAAGUAUAUUAUAAAUAAAAACUAUGAUGAUGUUAAAAAGUUAUCAGAGUGGGAGGGAAAAUAAGAAUGAUAGUGAGGGUGAGGGUGAGGGUGAGGGUGAGGGUGAGGGUGAGGGUGAGGGUGAGAUUAAAGUGAGCGAAUAUAAGUGAAAGCAAAAAAGUGAAUGUAGGUGAAAGAGAUAUUGACAUCGUUUGAUCAAAUACAAUGCGAGAGAACAUUGAAAAUUUGCCCAAAACUGGUGAAGACUUUACAACUGAGAAUUAUUUUAUCUAACGUAAAGCAUAUUAUAAAUAAAAUAAUGUGAUGAUGUAAAAAAGUUAUAAGAGAGAUAAAAUGAGAGUGAGAAUAAGGGUAAGAGUGAGGCAGAUGUGAGAGUGAGUGUGAGUGAGGAUGGGAGUAAAGGUGAGGGUGAGUGGGAGGUGAGAAUGAGAUUAAAGGUGAGGUUGAGGGCGAAGUGAAAUUAAGAGAGUGAAUAUAAAUGAAAGCAAAAGUGUGAAUAUAGCUUAGAGAGAUUUUGAGAUCAUUUGAUCAGUACAACGCUAGAAAGUUUUGAAGAUUUGACCAAAACUGGUGAAGACUUUGCAACUGCGAAUUAUUUUAUCUAAAUUAAAAGAUACUAUAAAUGAAGAUGUGAUGAUGUAAAAAAGUUAUAAGAGUGAGAGCGUGAAUGAUAAUAAGGGUUAAAAUGAGAGUGAGGGUGAACGUGGAAGCGAGUAUGAAGAUGAGAAUAAGAUUAAGAAAAUGAAUAUAAGUAAGAGUGAGAGGAUGGAUGUAGGUGAAAGAUAUUUUGAAUUUAUUUAAUCAAUAAUGUGAUGAAUUAUUUUUUUCAAUUUUAGUCGGCAGAUAUUAUAAAUAAAAUAAUAUAUAUGAUAAUUCAGAAACUAAUAAUAUAUAAUAUGCAAUUGUUAUUGGCUUAUUCCUAUAAAUUCUAUAUAUUAUAUCGCAUUAUAACUGUAUAACACAUAAACAUACAUAUUUUGAAACAUUUAACUUAAUGUUGGAAUAUCACUAAUGUUUGUACAUCAUUUAGUAUUAUGUACUAAUACUUUGUAUCUUCAUGCAUAAAACUGACAUACAAAAGUAUAUAAACUAUGUUUGACAUGCAUAAUCACUUAUAUACUAUUUUAGCUCAUUUUAAUAGUAUUAAUAAAAUCUUGGAAUUAUAAUAAGGUCAAUUCUCUCAAAUAAACCAUUUUUAAGUUUUGUCAUUUUUAAGUUUUGUCACAAAAAGAGCCCCCAAAGAUUAGAAUGACUAAAAUGUUUCAUUAAAUAGGCAAAAGCUUUUAUACCCAAUAUAUAUAAAUAUAAAUAAAUAAAAAGUAAAUGUUUUUUAUAGUGUCAAAUUUUAUGUUUUCAAAUUCGAUCUUUUUAUUAAAAAAAUUCGAAAAUAUUUCUUAUUUUUUCAAAUUUUCCUUUUGAAAUUCGAAAAUGUUUUGAAACUAUUUUUCAAACUUUUAUUUUCAUUUUUAAUAUUUUUUAAUUUUAAAGAUCACUCCCAAAACCCCACCAUUAAAUCUAAACCAUAAGUCUAUAUUAGUUAACUCUAGGGAUAUAAGUAUAUAUUUACCUUUUGAAUAAAACAUUUUGGUCAUUUUAUCUUUGGAGGUUAUAUUUGUGACAAAAACUUUUUCAGGACAAUUCUAGAGAAUUAUUCGUAUAAUAAUGUCUGCAUAUACAUGAUGUAUUAACAUCAUCAAUAUAUAAUAGACAAUUAUUAUUAUCAUAUUUUUACAUAAAUCAUAUCCCCUAAAAAUUAUUUGAGAAGAGAUUUUUUAAAGUUUUCUAAUAUGUCAUCACCAUAUUUAUUUUCAUUAGAAAAAAUGACAAAGCCAAAAGCCAAUUGUGACAUAGACAUUUCCAUUCAAUGUUGAUUUAUAAUUUUGGUAAGCUUUUUGAAAUAAGUUAAUAACUUAUAAAUCAUCAUUAAAUCAAAUAUAUUCAAAUAUAAUAUUAAAAUAAUAUAAAAAGAAAUAAAAUAAUAUUUACCAAAAUUUCGAAAUAUUAUUUAAUUCUCUUUUCGAUAAUUAUAGAAUUUUUAUUACUAAAUAAUUUCUUCAAAAUGUAUGCAAUUUUUAAAAAUUAUAAAUUUCUAAUCUAAUACCAUCAGUUUCCUUUUAAUAUCUAAAUAUUUUUGAAAUACUAUUUAGUUUUACUUUUUAUAAUUAUAUAAAAUAUUAUUUCUAACAAAAUUUGCUUUUAAUCUUAUGCGAUUUUAUUUAAUUUAUUUUAACUUUUUGUCUAAAUUUAUUUUAAAUAAAAGAAGUAUAUACAAAAUCUAGCCGAAAUUAUAAUUUUAGAUAUAUAUAAUGAUUAGUUAUUCAAAUUUAUUUUUAAUAUAAACGGAAUUCAUUAUUUAAAAAAUAGAUUAGUUAUUUAAUUUUUUAAUUUUAGGUUAGGGUAAUUAAGUUAGAUAUAAAUGGAAAUAAUAGAAAAGCUAGUUUUAAUAAAGCAUUUCACUUUUAGAAUAUAUAAAAUAAAUUAAAUACAUUGAUAAAUUUAUUUAAGAGGAAUUCUCUAGGAUAGUUAUUUUUAGUUUAUUUCACAAAAGAGCAUACAAGAAAAAAAAUGAUCAAAAGAAGUUUUAUUGAAGAGUAAAUGUAUUUUUAUACCUUUCGAGCUAAGUUAACUAACUCUAGAUAUUGAAUUUAGAGUUAAGGGGAUUUGGUGGUGGGUAUAAAAUUUUAGAAAAUAAAAAAUAAAUAUUAAAAAUUAAAAAAUAAAAAUUGUAAAGAUAGUUUCAAAAAGCAUUUUAGAAUUUCAAAAGAAAAAUUUGAAAAAAAAAAUUUGAAAAAAAAAUUGAAAAAAUUAUAAAAAGUUCGAAUUUGAAACCAUAUAAUUCAAAAUUAUUUUUAUUUUUAAUUAUAUUUUUUUGUUUUUCUAUUUUUAUUAUUUAUAUAUCUAUAAAGUAAAUAGUAAAAAAGUUUUUUGCCUUUUUUAAUGAAACAUCUUUUGGUCAUUUUCUUCUGUAUGGAUUCUUUUUGUGACAAAAAAAAUUAUUUAAGAGAAUUAUCCUAUAUAUAUAUAAAUAAAUAAAUUAUACAUAUAAAUAAUGUAAUUUUAUAUAUUAAUCAUUUACUAAUCUAUUAAUCAGUUAUACUACUUUUUGAAACUUAUUCAUUUAUAAUAGUUACAUUAAUAAGAACAUAUAACUUCUGAAACAUAUUUGCUAACAUAUUGCUAACGCUUUGUCACUCUAUCCAUCAAGACCCAAGUAUCCAAUAUCAUUUUAAGUCCCCUAAAGCAAAGUUUGAAAAUACAACGAUUUUUAUGUAUAAUUUUGUUUCCGGAUUUCUACUGACAGUUUCUUGAUUUGCAAGAACAAUUUUGAUGGUUAGGAAACUACUAAUGUAACCAAACCCUCAAGAAUCACAUAAGAAAGCACUACAUGCUCAAUUUCAUUAUUCUAUUAGCACAAAAUACAUAAUAUGUCUUGUGGAAAAUCAUUUCUCCGAACCAGUUUGCAUCUCCCCAUAAUUAGCAGCUCUGUUGUUGAAGGCAUUGAGAAGACGGUCGCAAGCUUGUCUUGAAGUUGGUCUCUCCGGAGGAUAAGUUUUUGUGCACUGAAUCGCUAUUUCAAGAACCUGAUAAGCUGCUUCUUCUUCGCAAGGCAAAAGCGGUUUAAGCUCUGAAUCAAUUAGAUUCUCCCUCGCUCUAGAACCAGGUGGCAUCUCAAGACACGUCUCUACCCAUCUUACUAUAUUGGUCUCUUCAUCAAACACUUCAUCUGUUGGCUUUUUACCAGUCACAAUCUCCAUCAACACUAUCCCCAUACUGUACACAUCGCUCUUCUCAGUGGCCUUCAACGAGUAAGCAUACUCUGAAACAAAACAAAACAAAACAAAAGAACAUUAGCUUUAACAGUGGAAAACCAAAUCAAGAAACUCAAGAUAUAAACCUGGUGCAGUGUAGCCAUAAGAGCCAGCAAACAAACUAUGUGAUUCUGUGUUGGUGUCAUUACACUCUUCAGUUAAGAUCUUUGCGAGUCCAAAAUCUCCCAAGUGCGCCUCCAUGUUGGAGUCAAGAAGCACAUUGCUGGUUUUGAUAUCGCGGUGAACUAUAGGAGGAGCACAAUCAAAAUGAAGAUACUCCACUCCUUGAGCCAACCCAAGUGCAAUUUUCAAUCUUGUUUCCCAAUCAAGAACCUGCUUCUUCUUCUCGUGAAGCCAGUCCCAGACGCUUCCGUUCGCCAUGUACUCAUAAAUCAACAGGUUCAAGCCUUCUGCUUUGCUAGUGCAGUAACCCAUCAGCUUAACCAAAUGUCUGUGUCUGAUCGUUCCAAGCGUCUUCACUUCUAUGUUGAAGCUCUUGUUUGACAUCAAAUCAUCUUUCCAGAGAAUCUUCUUCACAGCAAUCGUCUCACCGUUUUUCAAAUCCGCUUUGUAAACUUUUCCUGACCCUCCUGAUCCAAUCAUGAACUCGUCGUCAAGGCCAUGUGUAGCCUCCAUAAUGUCUUCCCACUUUAUAUCCGUGUUUGCAGCUCCGUUUCUAAAGAGAGGAGCUUGUGAAGAAGGAGAAGCGUUUGAUGAGAAUGUGCUGUUUAAAAGAUCAUGACUUUGCUUGCAGAAGAGGACAACCACUAGUACCGUCAAAGCAAUAGCUGCUACUGAAGACAACGCAGAGAUUAUAACUACGGUUUUCGCGCUAAGACCUUGUUGCUUUGAUCCAGCUCUCUUGCAGGGACUAAGAGGGCUUCCACAGAGAUCUGCAUUGCCUACAAAAGCAUCUGCAUGCCAUUUAUAGAAAGGUUUCUUUAACCUGCCCGUUAGGUUGUUGUAAGAGAGGUUGAGAUAUCCUAAACUCUUCAUAUCCCCUAUUGGCCCAGGAAUGUCUCCGACAAGGUGAUUGUGAGACAGAUCAAGAGAUUCAAGCUUAUGUAACGUCGAAAUGGUUGAUGGAAUGUGUCCGGUGAAGUUGUUGUAGCUGAGAUCUAAAGCACUUUGAAGAUCUUGAAGCUGUCCAAUCUCAACAGGGAUGUCUCCGGUUAAGAUGUUUCUCGAUAACCGAAGCUCGUAAAGCUUGCUCAGCUUUCCUAUGGCUGAAGGAAGCUGACCUGAAAUCUGAUUCUUUCCGAGGUUAAGCACAUUGAGAGCUUCCAAGUUCCCAAUCUCUUGUGGUAUAGAGCCGUUAAGUGAGUUACCAUCAAGAGAUAGCACAAGAAGCUUGGUUAAGUUGAAAAUCUCACUAGGGAGUGAACCGGUGAGCUGGUUUGAAGAAAGCUUGAGCUCACCCAAGAAAGGAAGCUUUCCAAGCCACGGAGGUAUAACCCCUGAAAUAAAGUUAUCGCUGAGAUCAAUGAGUGUCAGAUUCUUACACAAACCGAGCUCUACUGGUAUGGUUCCAGUCAGAGAAUUGCUUGAGAUAUCCAAUAAAGACAGUGCAUUGAUCUUCCCUAAUGUCCAAGGGAUUCUUCCUGUGAAUUGAUUCUUCCCUAACCUUAACCGCUCGAGGCUCGGAGACUUCCCUAGAUCAAGAGGUAUAUCUCCCUGGAAUCUGUUGUCCGUGAGAUCGAAGGAGAGAUAAGAGCUUGAACCGCACAAGGGACUGAUGGAGCCAUCGAGGGUGUUGUUUGAGAAAUUGAUUCUUGUGAGAUUCUUGAGGUUGAUAAGUGAGCUCGGAAGGUCCCCCUGAAGAGAGUUGUUGUAAAGGUGAAGCUGGUCCAAGGCCGUUAAGAAGCCGAAGGAGGAAGGGAUCGAACCGGUGAGGUGAUUAUCAGCUAAAUCAAGAAGCCUCAGUUGGUGACAGUUACCUAAAGUGGCGGGAAUGUUACCAGAAAACUCGUUCUCUCUCAAGUGAAGCCAAGUAAGAUCUUUCAAUCUUCCUAUCCAAGAAGGAAUCUCUCCACUGAAAUGAUUCCCAUACGUGUCAAUCUGCUGCAGACUCGUGCAGUUCCCAAUCUCAACCGGGAUUUCACCGGAAAACCGGUUGUCGUGAAGUAACAGACGUUCCAGUUUGCUGAGAAAACCGAUCUCUUUUGGUAACUUCCCCUCCAAGGCAUUGUGAGACGGACCAAACUCUUGUAGGUUCGUUAGGUUAGAUAUAGAUGGAGAUAACGUGCCUUUCAAGCUACAGUUGUUAAUAUAUAAAACCGUGAGUUCGACGAGGCGAAACAACGAGUCGGGAAUUUGACCGGUGAGCGUGUUGUUAGACAAGUUAAGCUCUUGUAAUGACCGACAUUUGCUGAUUUCUGUCGGAAUCUCGCCGGAAAGCUGAGUUUCAGACAAAAGCAGUAGCUUUAGAUUUGUGUUGUUAGAACAUAAGCUCUUUGGUAAGGAGCCAGAGAGAGGAUUGUACUCUAGAACCAGAUACUCGAGCUGAUUCAUGUUCCAGAACUCUUCAUGUAUCCCUCCGGUGAGACUGUUCUUGGACAAAUCAAGGAUUGUGAGACUUUUCAACUCCGUUAAUGUCUUUGGAAUCGAACCUUUAAGUUUGUUACCGAUCAAGUAAAGGUGUUUGAGGCUGCGCAGAUCACCGAGUUGACUCGGUAUCUCUCCGGAGAAGCAGUUGUUUGCCAAAUUGAGUGACUCGAGGUUUCCGAGUCGACUCAGCUCCGCCGGUAACGAUCCGUUGAGGCUGUUCACCUCCGCGGAGAACGUAACGAGGUUGGUACAGUUUCCUAACUCGGGUGGAAUCGGUCCUUCGAGGUAGUUAUGUCGUAGAUACAAAUACUGCAUCUGAACGAGUCGACCGAGUUGACUCGGUAUCGGACCGGUGAGUCUGCACGCAGCUAAUCCGAGAGUCUGGAGAUUGUCGAGAUUCCCUAACGUCUCCGGGAUUGAUCCGACGAGGUCGUUGUUUCCGAUUUUUAACCACUUGAGAUUCACGAGUGAACCGAGUUGACUCGGUAUCUCGCCGCUGAGUAGGUUAGAGAAGAGAUGCAGAGUCUCCAAAGAAGAAGAGAGGUUGGAGAGAGAAGCUGGGAUGGGACCUACGAGACUGUUGGACGAUAGAUCGAGGUCGAUUAGGUUAUCAAACCGGCCAAUAGAAGGAGAGAUUGAACCGGUUAAGUUUAAACCGGAGAGAUUUAAACCGAUGACUUCACGACCACCGCACGUGACGCCGGUCCAGUUGCAGAAAUUGGAAUCAUCGGAGUUCCAACUCCGGAGAACCUUUUCCUCCUUUGGGUUUGUGACAAGAGACUUCUUCACUUGGAGGAGAGUUUGGAGAUCGUUGCUUUGACCCGGUUGACCCGAACCCAAACCGACUGAAAAACAGAGGAAACACAGAACAAGAAGAGAGAGUCGCUGCAUUGUUAUUGCUUCUUACUUCUUCUUCUUCGGGAAACAAGAAGUGUAUGAAAGUGAAAGAAGAUUCCACUGGUGAUUAGUAGAAGUGAGACUAGUGUUGGGAAAAAUAGAGAGUUUAAGAGAAUUGUUGGUUUUUUUGGUUGAAGUUGAUGAAACAGAGAUGAUUGGUCGUAAGGACGGUGCAUGGGGGACGACUCUCUCUCUCUCUCUCUAUAGAAUAUAACACGCUCAAAUGUUUGAUGUGUGGUGAGUUGCAAGAGAAGUAAAUGCAGAUAAAGCUUUGGGAUCGGCUAUAAAAGAAGGCUAAAAGCCUAAAACUACAUAGUAUAGCCUUUUAAAAUGACGACACGCGGGUGUCUCUUUAUAUCUUCUGUCGUUUCGCUUUGAUUAAUUAUUGACAGUGUGUGUGUGUGUGUAAUUAAAGGGAAAUGAAUGAAGCAAUGGGAAAGAGCAGACGAAGGUCAACGAGGGUCAGAUGAGAGGCGUUGGAAAAUGCAAUUGCAAGUUUCUUACAUUUAUGUUGCGACUGUGCCAUUGUCUCUUUGUGUUCUUUCUAUAAAUGCUCAUAGUGAUGAGAUGUUUCGGAUUAGCUGAUUUUAGAUUUUAUUAGUAGAAUUGAAAUUGCAAAUGGUUUCAAAAUCCUGAAAACUUUUUGUUGAAUGUUUUUGCAAAAUAAAAAUUUGAAAUUUAUCUUUGUUUUUCAAUUACUGUGUGUCCAUUUAUAAAAAAUUGAAAAAUACUACUAGUAUUUUAUUCUUGUUCAUAUAGAAUAUGAUAGCGUGACACACAGUAAAAGAGCCGUAAAAAAUAUGCUGUUGUGUUUCGAUUUAUCCAUCUUUAACACAAUUUAUUUCCAUUUAUCUACAAAAUUCAGCUUCAUGAGAAUUUUAGUUGUGUAAGUAAUGAUAAUGUGGAAGGAGACUAAUGACAAUGAAAUAAAUAAGUUAUAUUGUAUAUAUAUAUAAUGAAAGAACGAUAUGGCUUUGAGCAUGGCCAAUGCAAGAGAGCGGUUGAGACGACAGAACGAUAACUUGGUUGAAGGGUACUUCUUCAAAAACAUUACUCUGUUGUGAAGUCUGUUUAGCUUCAUAUGACUCGAGAAGUCCUCUUAUGAGAAAUUUGAGAAGUUGCUUUUCUAUAUUUACCCCUUAGAUUUUCAUGUAUAUUGUUCGGCAUUUAUUUAUAUAUACUCUUUUGUUUCAUAAAAAUGUCAUUCUAGCUUAUUUUUUAUUUCAAAAUAUACCAUUCUACAUUUUUAAUGUAAUUUUAUAUAUUAAAUAUUUUUUUACUUUUUUAGCAACCAAUAGAUUUUUAUUUAAAUCAUCUCUUAUUUAAUUAAUUGUACAUUAAAUAAAAAUAUAUUAAUCUUUUAUACAGUUUUUUAACCUCCAUCAAAAUGUAUCUUGACACUUUGUAAAAACAAAGAGAGUAUAAUAUACAAAUUUACAGUUAUAUGCUAAAUAAUUGUUUGUCUAGAUAUAAAGAUAGGAAAUCUAUGCCUUGUGGAAUAACCCAAAUUUUAUAGUGAAGUAAAACCACAGUCUAGAUUCCUAUGAACUCUAAAUUUUGAACAAAACAGUAUUAUGUUUGUCAUCACCACCAAACCCAGCAACACAUUGGUUCGUUCUAACUUGUUUCUCUUUGAUAUUACCCCAUUUAAUAAAAGAUUUUGCAGAUGUCAUCUUUGACAUAAACGCAGAAGCAUCCAUUUCUGAGUUUUUUUUUUUUGCUUAAAGGAUAUAGAGAUAUAAGUUUAAAUGAAGGUUAAAACUUUUUGAUUAACAAAAAAAAUUGUAUUCUUCAACAAUUCAUUGUGUUUUAGAUAUGUAUAUAAUUAUGUUUGGUUUAUCAUAUUCUAAAAUGGAUAAGUUUAUCAACAUCUGGUUUGAAAAGGGUGAAAUGUCAUAUUCAAAUUGGUUAUUUUUUAGGGAAAGAUAAAGUGUGAAACCCUUAUCUUAUGGGAAACAAUUAUAUUUUUACUUAGUGUGAUGUUCUUAUUUGGGGAGUUCAUUCCUGAAGUAUGCUUAUUCUCGGUUUACAUGGUUAAUUGUCUUUUAGCAUGUAGUUAGGUCGCUGAAUCAAAUCCAAUUGCUUAUAUUUGUUUACAUACACUUUGUCUAACAAUAUCAUCUUCGGCUUUAUUUGGCCCCUACUGAUAAAACCUACCCCUAAAUAAGACAAUAUAGAUAAUCAAUCCAUCUCAUCGGUUUGUGCCUUUGCUGCUUUUUUAAAUAUGAUAUGGUUGAUCACGUUUACCUCCAGUUGUACUUGAAAGAUAACUCGUGGAGAAAGUACAUCUUUACGUGACACAGUUUUGCAGGUUUUUUAGAUUAACGAUUAACAAAUAUAUUUUUCUUUUUCUAUAAUGCCAAUAAAAUUCGAAUCUCUACCAGUUUUCAAAGGAAAUGAAAUAACGAAAUGGUAUAUAUAUUGUUUGAUGUCAAACUAACAUAUGUUAAUUAAUAAAUUUUUGGUUCUGAACGGUAAUAUCUUUUCAAAUCUUAAAUCAGUUAGGUUAGGUAAUGCUAUUUUUUGAUCAGCCAAAAAAAGUUGUCAACCAUUCAGUGUCCUUUACAUAUAAAUAAAACCUUUACAAAAGAGAUAAAUUUGUAAUUGUAAUGUUAAGUUAGCAAAGCUUUCAUAGCUCAGUUGGUUAGAGCACCCGUUUAGUAAGCGGGAGGUCUUGAGUUCAACUCUCAAUGAAAGCAAAUUGUAUUUUAAUUUUUCAUUUUGUACUUUUAUAUUGUAAAACUUCCGAAUGAUACCCCCACUACAUUCGCCGACUUUUUAUUUAUAGCGUCUCUCGUUUCGCAGUCUCGCCGUCUCCGACUCACUAAUCGCUUCUCUUUUGCGGUACGUUUCCCUCUCCUUUUCUUCUUCUCCGCUGACAUUCGAUGGAUAGUCUCAGCGCUGAUUGUGGAAAUGGUUCCCUCAGUUUUUUUUCACUGGAGCAGGGAACGUGUUCGAUGAAAUGUUUCAGAGAGUAUUUCUUGGAUCCAUAACGAAAUGCUAUCUGUUUUUUUUUCUCUCCGUUAUUUCUUAUUGCGCUUGUAACAUCGUUAUGAUCUUUUUCGUGAAUAUAGACCAAUUCCUCCCGUUGAACUGUAGAAACUUUACCCAGAUUCGUCUGGAUCUCAUGCUGAUGUUUCAGUUUCAGAUAGAGAUCUCCUGUCUUUAGAGACUAAAGUUAAGGAAACUGGACCCAGUUAUGAAGGAUCGUUGCUUAGUUCCCGUAUUUAAGCUUAAAGUGUGUACCUUUGUAUGUGACAUUUACCCAUCUUGGAUUUAAUAAUAAUAUCACUGAGUCUCGUGAUUGAGAUCUUUAGUCUUUUUGUUUAACUUAUCAGCAUAAAAAUGUGUUGGUUUUGCAAAUUGGUUGAUCAUGUUUCUUGCUUUUAACAGGUAGUUUUUGAAGGAAAGAUGGCUAGUGGUAGCCUGAAAAAUCUUGUAACUUCAGCAGUCACUGUUGGUGUGACCGAAGCUAGAGCAAGGAUUUUCGGACAUAUGCUUAACCCAACAGGGCAGAGGUCUCCUCAUAAGAUCUUAAGGAAGAAGCUUUUUGGUGAUAAGGUUGCAGAGUGGUAUCCAUACGACAUUAAGAAUGAGGAUCCCAAUGUCUUGGCUAGAGAAGAAAAAGAGUACUCCCUAUAAACUUCUUCUUUUAAGUUGUUUAUUUACUUUUCCCUAUUUAGUGCAAACCAGUGUAGUCAACAACAUGUUAUCAAGCAUGCCUUAAAGUAGACUUGAGUAGAAGCAAUGCCUAGUUAAUAUAUUUCAAUAAAGCUAUGCCUCAAUUGCAAAUAAUGUUUAUGCAAUUUGUGUUGAGUUGAGUUGGUGGGGUAGUAUUUGAUAGGCCUGACGUUAGUCCAGUGUACGAGAAUUGUAAUCAUCCAAGUGGUUGAGUGUUUUAACAGGCAGAAGGGCUGAGUCUUUUGGAUUGAUUUAGGAGAAUUUAUCAUACUGUUCGUCUUUGGUGGUCUUCCUUGCUUCAGUUUGUACUCUGUUCUUCUUCCGUAAUUGAUUCAGAAAGUCAACAAACGGAGAAUCAUUUCUGGUUUGCUCGGUAGUUUAUGAAAUUCAGGGCAUGAGAAAGCACGUAGUCUUAUGACAUGAAUGGUUGUGUUAUGUGAGGCUUAUGCCGAGCUGUGUACGCAAAGUAGCUUUAGGACAGUAGAAUUGAUUUUCUCUUAUUUUGUGGAAGAUAAUAUUUUAGUAGCUUUCUAACUUGAGAGUUUGUGUAUUAUUGUAGGCGCUUAUCGAAGCUUGAGAUGUUGAAGCGUCGUAAUAAGGGACCACCACAGAAGGGUCAUGGAAGACGUGCUGCGAAGCGUAACAAGUAGAAUAAGUAGGGAUUGUAGCUUCCUAAAAAAAAAAAAGCUCAGCACUUUCAGUAUCAGAUUCUGUUGGUUAAUAAUGUCAACUAGAACUUUCUUCAUUAGCGAAGUCCUCUCAACAUAAAAUCUUCAUGCUUAAACUAUGCAUUAGUUUACAAUGAUCUUACAAAGCUAUUUGCUUCCCUUUUGACUUGAUAUGGCUUUUGUUUCUCUAUUUUUCUUUUGUCUGCUUUUUUUAAUUCCUUACUCUUUAGGGUGUGCAAGCUGAUAAACUUGUGCUGUGUCAUAACUCAACCGUUGAUUUAAUUACCGAGCUACGCGUAUGAGCUGUCGAUGACAAAGACAUUUUUUUUUUUUGUAAAAUGUUGAUAACAUUCCAUUGAACGGUAGUCUUACAAAGUUGAAAAAAAAAAAAACCGAAUCUUAGAGAUGGUGGUAGCGUGGUAGUGGUAGGUGUAACCUGUCUGCUAAUAUAGUGCACGUGUGUUUAUUCAUUCUACUACCUCUCACUCCUAAACAAAAAGAUUAGUUUAAAGUCUUUGUAGGACUGUGUCAGAGAGAGUCGGCGCAGAGAGAGAGAUAGAGAUGGAGGAAGCUCUGAAGAUUCAGUCUUUGUUCAUCUAUCCGAUCAAAUCUUGCCGUGGAAUCUCCGUCCCUCAGGCAACCGUCACUCAGACUGGUAAUUCAAAGAACAAACUUCUUCUCUUUGUAACAAUUAGUAAUGAGAAAAUUACCCUUUAGAUCACUUUUGGGUUCUUUGAAUUUGGUGAGUAAUAUGUUAUGGGCUCGAUAAAAUAGAACUUAUGAGAAAGUGAACAGUUUUAUAAGAUUCCCAUGAGUGUUGAUAGGGGACUGUUGGACUAUGAGGUUGGCUUAAUCUGUUGAAACUGAUAUAUGCAGGGUUUCAAUGGGACCGGUACUGGUUAGUGGUGAACUACAAAGGAAGAGCAUACACUCAAAGAGUUGAGCCAAAGCUUGCUCUUGUCGAAUCCGAGCUGCCUAAGGAAGCCUUCUUGGAAGACUGGGAGCCAACAAAAGACACAUUUUUGGGUAAUUACUGUGUUAAUAAUUUACAUAUACUCUUGUCUGAACCUGAGACUCAGAAUUGAUUGUCUUGAUUAUUUCAUUUUGGCAGUGGUAAGAGCUCCAGGUAUGAGUCCGUUAAAGAUUCCAUUGACUAAACCGAGCUCGAUAGCAGAAGGUGUGUCCAUGUGGGAGUGGUCUGGCUCUUCUUUUGAUGAGGGAGAAGAAGCUGCAAAAUGGUUUUCAGAUUAUCUUGGCAAACAAAGCCGUUUGGUUCGGUUUAAUAAAGGUUUUAGCUUCUUAUUCUUUUCAUUUUGCAACAGAUUUGAAAUGCACAUAGUUGAUCAACUUCUUUCUUGAUACAGAAACUGAAACCAGACCUUCACCUCCAGAGUUCGCAGCAGGCUACUCUACAACAUUUGCAGAUAUGUUUCCGUUUUUGUUUGCAUCUCAGGUGAGCAAUUAAUGAUAGUUACAGUAUCAGAUUAGUGAGAAUGUGCAUUUGAUCUUCUUUUGUCUUGCUUGAUGUUCCUAGGCUUCUUUAGACCAGCUGAAUACACUCCUACCAGAACCGGUGCCUAUUAACCGUUUUCGACCCAAGUAAAAUACUAUCAUUCAUUCCGAGUUCUUAAUCUCUUUGAUGAUGGUUGUUUCGUUUUGUUGUGAUCUUGAUUUUUCUUUGAUUCUCUUGUAGUUUUCUUGUCGAUAACUGUGAUCCUUUUGGUGAAGAUCUUUGGGAUGAAAUCAAGAUUAACGAAUUAGUCUUCCAAGGAGUAAGGCUGUGUAGCCGCUGCAAGGUGAGUAUCCAACACUCAGAUUAUCAACUCUGAGGCUUUUAAAAAACUGUUAUUGUUGUUCUUUUAGGUACCACUGGUGAAUCAAGAAACCGGAGUUCCAGGUGCAGCAGAACCAACUGAAACUCUGAUGAAAUUCAGAUCAGACAAAGUCUUAAUGCCAGAUAAGAAGGCGCGUGGAAAGGUUAGAUAUUGUCUGGUUUUGUGUGGGAAGAGACUUGUACUUGGAUCCUGUCUGAUGCUUAAACCGGUUCAAUAAAUUUUGUGACAGGUUUACUUUGGUAAGGAGAUGGUUUGGAACUGGAACAUAAGCAACAGUGAAGGCAAAGGCAGCAAGACAAUCAGAGUUGGUGAUACCAUCUCUGUUCUAAAGAUGAUGACUUCCAUAACUGAAGCAGCUGUUUAACUCUCAACAUAUUUGCUUUCUUUCUUUUUCUUCUUAUUAUGUGUGUUAUCUUGUUCUUGUGUCUAAACUAUAGUCAAGAUAGAUGAUUGCUUGAUUGCUCAUCUGAAUCAAACAAACUUCACUUGUUCUGAGAGAUACAUCUUGUCGAAUAUGUGAUAUGAUGCUUUUCUGUUUGACUAGUUUAAACUGUGCAAUAUAUUAGAUUCUUACUUAUUAGAGAGGUCUCUCUUUUAAAACAUCUAAAUAGCAAUCACAGAGGCAAAGAAUCAAACUCUAGAAAAAUAUACUCUGAUAUUAAAGACAAAGAUACAUAAAAAGAAUAUAAAGUCAGUACCAGACAUGAAUUAUACUGUUAUUAAGACGCCAACUAAACUGAAUAAACCUAAAUACGACUCUCUAGGUCUUGGAGCCAUCAUCGGUCUUCUAACAUAUUUUUUCAUAACAUUAAUGUGUCUUAAGACAGGAGGACAGUACUGAAUGAAUCAUAUGAUUUGGGCUUGGUGCAAACAAAAGGAUGUUUCAACAGAUCCGCUGCGGUGGCUCUGCGUGAGGGCUGCAACGCCAUGCACCGCCUCAAGAAGUCGUUGGCCAGCGGAGAUACUAGUCUCGGAAGCCUCCACCUGUAGCAUUCUCCCAUCUUCACUGGAUAGCCUCCAUACAUCUGAAGCACAACACACCCUAGAGCCCACAUGUCAACAGCCGGUCCAAUCAUCUUCACUCGGUUGGGUCCCAAAGACUCAGGGGGCAUGUACUCCUUUGUACCGCCAGACAAGGAGGACCUUGGAUUCGUACAAGAAGGCUCCUUAGAUAGACCGAAGUCAGCAAGCUUGAGAUCCCACGGCUCUCCGACAAUCUUGGAAGGAAAGAGGAGAACGUUAGCCGGCUUGAGGUCGCAGUGAACGUAGCCGUGAGAGUGAAGAGCCUCGAGGCCUUGAAGGAUCAUGAGAGCAGCGCGUCUGAUCAAAACCUCAGGCACUGGUUGGCCAUUGAAGUGGGAGAUGAAGUUGUGGAGAGUACCUUUGGAGGCAAACUCCAUGUAGAUAUAACAAUGGUCGAGGUUGAUACCUAUGUGAAGAUUAGGGUUUGUGGUUUGGACGAUGCGUGGAUGGUUACGGAAACGAAGCAUGAUCCUAUGCUCUUUCUUGAGACUCUCCAUGUAAGAUAUUGGAGAUGAUUUCUCAGCGUGUAACCUUUGUUUGGAGUCUCUUAUGAGAGCGACCGAACCAAAACUACCUCGGCCAAGAAAACAGACAAACUCUAGUACUGAAGAAGAUUGGCCAACAACAUUCGGAGCUUUGCUGUUGUUGUUGGUGUUGUCUUCCUUAAUCAUCACCAUCUUGGUAAUACUCUGUAAUUAGGGUUUUUGACUCUAUUUUGUGUGUUUGUUUUUGGUUUGAGAAACAAGUAAUCGAAUCAAUGAUAGCUUUAGAGAGGAGUCUCUAGCGUUCUUAUUUAUAUGAAGCUACUUGAGUACGUUGUUCACUAUUCGCUUUGGGUUUUCACUCUUUCCUUUUGUUUUUGUUGAUUAUCAUGUUUAAUUUUUUUUGAACUAAAUUAUCAUGUUUAAUUUCCUUUUUAGUUUCUACCUUUUGUUUUCGUUGGUUAUCAUGUUUAAUUCUUCUUGAACUAAAUUAUCAUGUUUAAUUUCCUUUUUAGUUUCUUCUUUCCUUUUUUUUUUUGUUAUUCCUCAAAGUUUCAAUUGAUUUUCAAAUUUGCAUUCUUAUUUAUCUUAUUUAUAAGAAGUUGAGUCUGUUAAAUUGUUCACUGUUUCCUUUUUAGUUGUAUAUUUCUUUUUUAAUUUUUCUUAUUUCUCAAAAUUUAAAUUGAUUUUAAACUUAUUUUUAUUGGUUUUCAGUUUUUGAUUUUUGAUUUUUGAUUUUUAAUUUUUGAUUUUUGAUUUUUGAUUCAGUUUUUAGAUUUUGGGGUUUUCAAUUUUUAGUUUCUGAUUUUUCUGUAUAUUUUAGCUUUUCGAAAAACUUGGAUAGAUUUUAGAAAAUUAAUAGCAGUAUUAAAUUUUUUUUUUUUGAAAACCAACAUAAUUUGAUGAAAAAGUUAACAGAUGUAGUUUUUGGAUUUUCUUUUAAAAUUAUGGAAAAAAAACUUAAAACCAGCUUCCUUUCAUUGAAUGAAAUCUAUUUAUCUUUUUUUUUGGUCAAAGGAAAUCUAUUUAUCUAAAAGUUUGAUUCGGUAAAAAGUGGUUUUUUUUUUUCAAAAACAAACCCGAAACUACUUCAAGAUCAGUAAACAAUCAACACCUUAACCUGGCUUAUGAACUUGUGUUUGUACCAAUAAACAUUUUACUUCAGAAAAUCGUAUUUUAAUUCUUAACUAGAUUUUGACCCGCGCUUUCAAAGCGCGGGAUUAACUCUUUCUAAAAAUAUCAUUUUAUAACAUAUUAUAUUUAUAACAUUUAUAUUUUUAUAAUUGUUUUUUGUUAUAUGUGUAGUAAUUAUUUUAUAUAUUUAGGAUGAUAUGUAUUGAGAUAUAAAUAUAAUAAUAUAUAUAAUGACUCAUAUUUUAAAAGCGCGAGAUUUGUUUCUUUUAAAAAUCAAAUAAAAAUAAAUAAAUAUUUGUUAAUUGUAACCUUAUGUGUUAUUUGAUAACUAAUUUUUUUAAUAUGCUGAUGUUUUAUAGUAAUACAAAGUAAUUCUGAAGAGUUGUUUUUAAAAAAUAGUUCCUUGUAUUAAUAUUUUUAGUUUAUUGUAAACUAUUAAAUCCCAAAUAUCCUUUCGUAGAAUAUUUUAAAAGGUGAUUAAAAGAAAUACAAACAAAAUUUUGAAUCCAUUUUUAUGUUUUACUGUUUUUAAAAUGGGUUUUCUAAUUUUUUUUGGUCAAAAAAAUCAAGUAUUUAAAUGAACAUCGAAUUCGUGAAACCCACCCACAAGUAAUCCAGCUUCUUCGACAUAUGACCGUAUGGUCUUACCAAAAAAGAAACAAACGGAAAGUACUAAUAAAAAAUUAUAUUCAUAUUUUUUGCAUGGUUAAAGUGCUAAUACUAUGUAAAUAGCAUAUAUGUCAUAAAUCGAUUUUAGUAUAGAUCUUUGAAGUAUACAUAAAAAUAAUUGUAAUCUGAUUGGGUUUCUAAUAAAGUCGAAAUGGGCUUGAAAUCCCAACCUUUUUUACUACCAAAAUGGGCUUGUAAAUUCGUUUUUAAAUACUUGUUUCUGACUGGUGCAAUUAAUGUGGCUGAAAACCAUUUAAAAAAUUCAAAAAGAUAAUGGCAAUUUUUGUAAUUAAUUGAAAAAAUCAGGGACAUAAUCCUAAAAAAGAUUUUGCUUUAAUAGUAUAGAUCAUUAGCUCACUAUACAAGUUUGAGUUACAAACCUUUACACCUGUUCAAUAAACCACAUUCAUUUAAGAAGAAUCCAAAACUGAUAUAAUAGAUGGCUCGGCAGUAGAUGCAGCCCUGACUCCAAGUUUUGAGUCUUUGUUUUGUGUUACUAUUAAGUUUCGAGUCUUCCAUUCUAAGUCUCAAGUAAACUAAAAAAGGGAACCUUGGGGUCUCAUUCUG